RNAcentral lists this non-coding RNA (30 nucleotides) under Petrotoga mobilis SJ95. The record is from RNAcentral. Lineage: Bacteria; Thermotogati; Thermotogota; Thermotogae; Petrotogales; Petrotogaceae.
GUUUCCAUUCCUUAUAGGUAGGAUAAAAAG